Molecule: ribosomal RNA, 698 nt
Filed under: Gilbertella persicaria
Lineage: Eukaryota; Fungi; Mucoromycota; Mucoromycetes; Mucorales; Choanephoraceae
Description: eukaryotic LSU rRNA
Rfam family: 5.8S ribosomal RNA (bases 263-415)
Source: RNAcentral
GUCGUAACAAGGUUUCCGUAGGUGAACCUGCGGAAGGAUCAUUAAAUAAAUAUGAUAUAGUCAUCUUCUGGCUAUUAUCUAUUUUACUGUGAACUGUUGUUAUUACACAGCGCUUGAGGAAUGUCUGUUCUACUAUAUGGGUAGGUAGGAUAGAAUGUUAACCGAGCUGUGGUCAAGCUUAGGCUUGGUACCCAAUAUUAUACAAAUUUUCAAUUGAUCAGAUAUAAAUAUUGUAACAUAGAUGGUAAAACGUCUAUAAAACAACUUUUAACAAUGGAUCUCUUGGCUUUUGCAUCGAUGAAGAACGUAGCAAAUUGCGAUAACUAGUGUGAAUUGCAAAUUCAGUGAAUCAUCGAGUCUUUGAACGCAUCUUGCGCUCAUUGGUAUUCCAGUGAGCACGCCUGUUUCAGUAUCAAAAACAACCCACAUUCAUAAUUUUGUUGUGAAUGGUCAUGAAAGAAGCUAAGCUAGUAUUAGGUUGGCGACUUUUAAAAUAUAAUAAGGCCUGAACUUGUUCAUCAAGCUGAACUUUUUUUUAAUAUAAACCAAAGUUUUAGCGACUUGAACUUUAAUGGGGCCUCCCAAACAAAGCUUUUUUCAACUUGAUCUGAAAUCAGGUGGGACUACCCGCUGAACUUAAGCAUAUCAAUAAGCGGAGGAAAAGAAAAUAACAAUGAUUUCCCUAGUAACGGCGAGUG